This 353-nucleotide long non-coding RNA is filed under the name Salvia miltiorrhiza (redroot sage). RNAcentral describes it as "long non-coding RNA (SMIL_LNC012347)". Lineage: Eukaryota; Viridiplantae; Streptophyta; Magnoliopsida; Lamiales; Lamiaceae. The record is from RNAcentral.
CUAAAAAGAAAAAAAAAAUUAUAAAAAAAUAAAGAAAAUGCUGAAAAAGUAACCAUUAAUAUGAAGAAAGUUAAUGUUUGAAAAAGAGCAAAAAUAAAUGGAAAAAUAGAAAAAAAAAGUUUUUUUCUUUAGAGAAAAAAUGUUUUAAAUAGAAAAGAAAAAAAGAAAAAUAAAGAAAAAACAUUUAGUGGAUUUCAAACUCAGGUGAGUAUAAGGUGAGAGUGAUACUUAACCAUUGCACCACAACCUUCGUUUUGUAUUAUUUAGGAAAACUGUUAUUUAUGUAAAAGUUCACGACCCACGCCCUAACCUAUCUCACCCAUACACACUCAGUCUCACAGGAGACUAACUAU